GAGAAGUCGUAACAAGGUUUCCGCUUGUUGAGAGGAUGCCUUUUGCGGCGCAUUUGAUGCUCCGCAGGAGUCGCUACUUUAGUAGCUUAUAGAAAUACAUAUGACAACCGUUGCUAUACUGACUCGUGUGGUUUCGGUAGAUGGUUGAUUCCGUAGCCAUUCGCAAGUUUGGUUCUGGGUCGACUUGUAACGGACCAAAACGCGUCAUUAAUGUGACGGCACGUCAGAUUACUAAAUUUUACACUUUUAGCGGUGGAUGUCUUGGCUCACACAACGAUGAAGGACGCAGCGAAUUGCGAUAAGCAUUGUGACUUGCAGACUUCUGCGAAUCAACAGAUUUCUGAACGUAUUAGACACACCACCUCUGCUUGCACGUGGUACUCCCAUUUCAGUGAACCUCAUCUUCUAACAAACAACCGCUUUGCUAAGUUGUUGCAUUACACCGGCUGUUUGUUGUGAGUAGUGACCCUCAGAGGCCAUUAGUUUUAGUUAAACUCGUGUCUGUGUGCACGGCCACUGUUUACAGUGGUGUGGAACUUUUGAUGUAACUUGUUACUCGUGUUCUGCUUUGUGUACAUUUUCACAUAGUUUAGCAUCCCAUUUUACAUGUGAUUGGUUUGCGUAGCAUCCCUUUCUAUAUAUGUAAAUUCGGGUUUAUCAUUUAGUUCUUGAGAUUGGGUGAGACUAUCCACUGAAUUUAAACAUAUAACUAAGUGGAAGAAAAGAAAAUAAAUAUGAUUCCCCUAGUAACGGCGAGUGAAGC
RNAcentral lists this ribosomal RNA (763 nucleotides) under Babesia bigemina. Its description in RNAcentral is "eukaryotic LSU rRNA". The stretch from base 242 to 397 matches the Rfam family "5.8S ribosomal RNA". The record is from RNAcentral. Lineage: Eukaryota; Apicomplexa; Aconoidasida; Piroplasmida; Babesiidae.